UCGGCGCCAGUGCGGUUGAGGACAUUGAUGCCGCCAUUGCCGGCCUUGAGGGCCAGGUGCGAUACCUGGGUAUUGAUC
RNAcentral lists this transfer RNA (78 nucleotides) under Pseudomonas fluorescens. Its description in RNAcentral is "tRNA-Asn". Lineage: Bacteria; Pseudomonadati; Pseudomonadota; Gammaproteobacteria; Pseudomonadales; Pseudomonadaceae. The record is from RNAcentral.